UUGUGAGAAUUCACUGGGAUGUUUUUGUUGUUGUUCUCUGGAUAAUCAGAGAAUUCUAGCAUCGAUAUUGUUACUCUGUUGUUGUUCCUUCUCUCUGCAGCAAACCUUUUGAUAUUAAAGUCACCACACACGCCACCUGGACCAGCGCAUAUACCCCUGAUUGCGACCAUUCGUUUGCUGUCUUCUGUUGUCAGUUUUCAUGGAUAAGCUUCUGACUGUUUGCUGAGGCGCAUGACAACGUACUCACGACAGUGUUUCCCUCUCUUCCUGAAGCAUUAGGAGAUUGAGAGUGGUUUUCAUGACUGGUCCAAGAGGUGAUAUAAGAGUCCCAGUCAAGAGAGGUCCUACCUAUACUAGGGCCACUUAUUUCCAUUAUCUUGGCCAUAUUAAUCUGUGUUCAGGUUUCCGUCAAACUCGCAGGUGGUGUUCAGCCUUUAAAAGCUGAUGUAUACAUGUUUGGUGUUCUACUUGUGGAGUUGUUUGCCAAAAUCAAAAAGAUUCCCACUCCACACUACUGCUGGAUUCAGGAGCAGCUCCAAGGUGGAAAAAAGUCGAUAGUGGAUAAAUCACUUCUCCAAGAUAAUGAUGAUGAUGAUGAGCUGUUGGCUAAUAGCAUCACGACUAUAGCAGCGAAAUGUCUGGAAAGGGAUCCAGAUGCACGCACAGGUAUGAAGAAUGUCUCUGUAGAAUUGUCCAACUUGUUAGAUGGAGCAAGGAGGGAGCGAGGGACUAAGAGGAAAGCGGGGAGUUGAGUUUAAAGUCUAGUUGCACCGUCGAGGUUGCUGUUCGAAGCCUUGUUCGCGGUUGAGUUUAUUAUUAUUAAAGAUGAUUAGCAGGGGCUUUUCUGUUCUUCUGGUUAUUUUGGUGAUGCUUGUUGGAAAACUAAGCUGUAAAAAGCCACCUAAAAAUGGAUUUGGAUAUAUUAUGAAGUUAUGACGUUCUGGUUUUACAUGUCAGUUCAUUUCCUGAGUUGUAUCUGAAUUUUUGUCCCACUCAAUCCAUUUCUUUGUGUUAAAACCCUACUCUCUGAAUCUCAAGCAUGUAAAAUUCAAUAUUUUGAGCUAAUCGUGGAUUCUUGGUUUUCUUGGUGU
This is a long non-coding RNA of Nicotiana attenuata, 1091 nucleotides long. RefSeq lists it as uncharacterized. The record is from RefSeq and is a predicted model, not a curated record. Lineage: Eukaryota; Viridiplantae; Streptophyta; Magnoliopsida; Solanales; Solanaceae. The transcript has 2 exons.